Homo sapiens (human) is the source of this 3690-nucleotide long non-coding RNA. Ensembl annotates it as long intergenic non-protein coding RNA 2232. Lineage: Eukaryota; Metazoa; Chordata; Mammalia; Primates; Hominidae. The record is from Ensembl.
AAGUUCCUCACCAGAAGCAGAGGCUGGCACCAUGUUUGUUAUGCAGCCUGCAGAACCGUAGUGAGACGAGCAUGAGUGGAGCAGGAGACGGCUGUCCCCCACCCACAAGGAAUAUCAGAUGAUGGUUCAGCGAUCAUCACAUUGCCUCUCUGAAAGUGAUAAAUUGGCAGCUGGCACCAGGGAGAGGCUAUUUCCUGAUGGCCCACACCUGUUGCACUAAGAUGUUAAUCGAAUGCAGAUUCCAGGGAGAAACAACUUCCUGGGCAUGUGCGUAAGAGACAAAAUGGCAGUAAAAAUUAGAGAAUGAGAUCAGAAUAUGGAUACAUUGCAAGAGGUGGAGCCCUGGAACAAAAGUAAGAGUAAUACAGAUUAUGCAGUGUCACUCCCCAGACAUCUAUAAAGAUUUCUACUGAACAAGUCAGCCAUCGAAGCAGAUUAUUCACCAUCUGUGGUCAUCAAUUCCAAAGGAAUUUUUGUUUCUGGUAAUGGCCAAAUAAGCAUCUAUAUGAAUAUUUUCUACAGAUAAUAAAUAUAAACUGUGAACAAAUGUAAAAAGAAAAAAAAAAGACCAGCCAAAGGCACUGGAAAUGACCCUAAAAGAGCAUAUUCUGAAGAGUAGUCUACAAUAGAAAAGGGAAAAUGACACUGACUGAGUCUCUCAUUUACUUUAGCUGUUAGACUAAAGGCAGUUCUAAACCAUGCCAUGGAUAGUAGCCAAAACUGCGAUAGAAAGGGCAUUGUCUUUCUGAUUUUAAAGGUGUACUAGAAGAGAGAGUUUGGGACAACCAUAGCUGCUAGUAAGUGAGAAUACACACUGCACAGGAAAAGAGCCAGAAAAAGAGAAGGUCGCCAACUUGAAAUUAUAAACUGUGUCCAUGUUUUUAGAAUAAUGACUUUGUGGAUCUGACUCCAAGCAAGUCACCUAAGGAUAAAAUAACUGAAGCAAGACUUCAGCUGCCACACAAAGAUAGAUUUUGCAGAGGUGUGAUUUCAACCAAGUAAAUUACAUUACAGACUAAAUAGAAAUAAAAGAUUCAGAAGAAGAUUACAAAACUCAUGAUCUCCAAAAGAUAAUAUUCAUAAUUUCCAACAUGCAUCCUAAAUUACUCCAAAACAUGAAUAAAGAAGAAUGUUUUUUAUUCUCAAGAUAAAUGAAAAUCAACAGAGACUGACAGCAAAAUGACUCAGAUGUUGGAAUUGGCACAACAAAGAUUUUAAAGGAAUUAUGCUGAGUGAUGUAAAGGAAAAUAUGUUUGAAAUGAAUGAAAAAUUAAGAAAUCACAGCAAAGAGAUAGAAAUUAUAAAAAAUGACUACAUAAAGACAGUAAUAAGGUGUCUUUUCAAUUUAUAUGGAAGUACAAAGUUCUAGCAUAUUCAAAGCAAUUCUGAAAAAAAGCAUAGUUUAAAGCAAUUCUAAAAAAGAAUAGCAUAGUUUAACUAUAAUAAAUGUUUUCAAGAAUAUUAUAAAGCUAUAGGAAUCAAAAUAAUAUGGCAAUGAUGUAAAGAUUGAUUAGCAAAGCCAUAGAAUAAAAUUUGAAGCCCAGAAAUAGAUUUGCACAUAUUGGGGGGGUUAUUUAACUUUUUACGAAUAUAUUAAAGCAAUUCAAUGAAUGUGCAGGGAAGGAGUAAUUCACAUGCCUGGGUUGCUCAAACCCUGUAUAUUUCCCAUAAGCAUCUUUCUUCAGGGUGGGCCCUUGGCUGGCUCCUCAAAAAUGAGCUCCGAGGCUCUGGAAUAUUCUGCCUGAGAAGAGUGCUUCUGUAUGUCUGACACCUCCGUCCAUGUGGUAAAAAUAAUGUUCAAACUGUUUACACUAAUUAUGUGUUUUAUUGUGAACAACUGUUUUUGUAAGCCUGAGACUUUAGAUUACAAAGUACAAGUUUAAAUGGGUAGUUUUUGUUAACAAUGAGAUUUAUGGUAAGUGUAUGAGGAACUAAAAUCUCAACAGCUGAGGACAGUUAUACAGGUGCUGCAUGCCUACGUGACUGACCCCUAAUAAAACCUCUGAAGACCAAGGCAAGAUUGAGCUUCCUGACUGGAAAUACAUCACAUGUAUUGCCACACAUCAUUGCUGGGAUAAUAAAGCACAUCCAUAGGACUCCACUGUGGGAGGACACCUAGAAGCCCAUGCUUCAUGUCUUCUAGACUUUAUCCCAUGUACCUUUACAAUUUGCUAAUUUUAAUGUGUAUCUUUUCAUUGUAAAAGACACUAAACAUGGAGAUAGUAGGUUUUUCUGAGUCUAGAGAAUCUUCAUUCUCUAGAAUGAAGUGGUAGUGGUCAUGAGGAGUCUCUACCCAUAAAUAAAACAUAUUUUUAAUGAAUGAUACUGAAAUAACUAUAUUUAUAUGGAAAAAAUGAAUCUCCACCCAUAACUCACAAUAUACCUAAAAAUAAUUCAAAAUGAAUUAUUGACCGAAACAUAGAAGCUUAUACAAAAGAUUUUCAGAAUAAAAUAUGGAAGAAUGACUAUUUGACAUAGAGCUAGGCAAAGUUUUCUUAUAGGUAGAUAAGAUACAGGACAAAUGAUGACAUAUGGAAAAAAUGAUAUGUUUGACUUUACCAAAAACAAAUCAUCAGUGAAUCAAAAUACUCACAAAAUACAACUCCUACAGCAAAACAUUAUAAAGACAAACAACCUUUUAAAAUGGGAAAAAUGUUUGAACACACAUUUUAUACAUUAAGAUGUAUAAGUGGAUAAUAAACACAUAAAAACUGUUCAGCAUCACUAAGUAAGUAGGGAAUGGUACAUUAAAGCAACAUUGUGAUAUCAUUACACACCCUCUAGGAAUGGCUAAAAUUAAAAAGACUGAAAACAUCAAAUUUUGGCAAGGUUAGGGCCAAUUAAAAUUUUCAUACAUUGCUGGUAAAAAUGAAAAUGUCACAACCACUUUGGAAAAAAUUUUUAAAAUUUUUUACAAAACUUCAUAUAGAUCCAUUAUAUGACCCAACCAUUCUACUGCUAGACAUACACUCAAAAUGAAGAAACACGUACAAAAAGAUUUCUACAAGAAUGAUUUUAGCAGCUUCACAACAAACCAGGUGUUGGUCAAUAGGAAGAUGAAAAAUCAAAAUAUAGUAUAGCUAUAAAAUACAAUAAUAUUUAGGAUAAAAAUAAUAAAUGCAUGUUAUAACUAAUAAUAUCAUGACUGAAUCUCAAAAAUAUUUUGCUGAGUUAAACAAGCUUUGCACAAAGUAGUAUAUUAUGUAUGAUCCCAUGUAUAGAAAUAUCUAGAAUAAGGAAAAACAAAUUAUGAUAGAAAAGAUGUUGCUUCUGGUGAUUGGGUGGAGCUCUGAUGGACUGGGAAGGAGCAUGAGGGAGCUUUGUGGGUUGAUGGUAAUUUAUGUACCCUGACAGGGGUUUGGUUUACAUAGCUGUAUUCAUUUGUCAAAACUUAUAUUAAAUGGUGCAAUUAAUAUUGAUGCAUUUCAUUGUAUGUAAAUUUUACCCUAAAAUAAUUUUAGACAAAUUGUAAAACCUAGUUAAAGACAUAUAUGCUGAUAUUUUCAGGGUUACCUCUCUUGAUGUCUGCAACUUACUUUGAAAUGCUUCAAAAGGAAAAUAGGAUAAUGGAUGGAAAUAGGGAGAGAGAAAUGGAUCGAUGUGUAAAUAAAACAAAUCUAUCUAAAUGUUAAAGCUUAAUUGUAGAUGAUGAAUGUAGGAGUGUUGAAUGUUAAAUUCUUUCAACUUUUA